GGGUUCCGCUUGACUCUGCAUUCUCCUACUUCCCUGCCUGCUUACUCUCUGCCAUCAUAGUUUUUUGCUUCAACCUUCAAAUGUAGCCAUUCUUUUUCUAAAGCGGUACUUAUUCUCUUUAUUAGUUAAAAUUAUUAAUUUUAUGCACUUACUGUUCUAGCUCCAAUUUUGCAUUUCCAGUUCCCUGCUGGGAAUAAAUUAAAUUGGCAGAAGCUCAGUCUAAGUGCCUGCAACAGAAUUUGUCCCAUAUCCAUACAACUUGCUCCUCCACAACAAAUGGGAGAAUCAUCCUCUUACCUCCAGGCUGUGAUGGAGGAGAAGCUACCCCUCAGCACAGGAUUUUGGUAGAAUAAGAAUAAAAAUGACAAGUCCCUUCCUGAAAAGCUCUUCAUUGUCUCUUGAAAACGGUCUGUGAAAGUGCCAAACCACCAGCUCUCCAGAUGUGGCUGAAUAUCAAGGUAAAUUUAAUUUAGACUUAGCUUGGGAUCCCCGUCAUAACAAAUCGGAUAAAGCGCAUGCACACACAUGUGCACACACACGCACACACACUCAGACAUGUAAAACCCAUCCUAGACAGUUCAAACAAGGUUUGAGUACCACUUUCCACGUAUCAGGCUUACAAGGUGCCAAGAACAUAGAGUUCCUGACCUUGAGGAGCCUGC
Molecule: long non-coding RNA, 662 nt
Filed under: Homo sapiens (human)
Lineage: Eukaryota; Metazoa; Chordata; Mammalia; Primates; Hominidae
Description: MLIP antisense RNA 1
Source: RNAcentral